RNAcentral lists this ribosomal RNA (492 nucleotides) under uncultured bacterium. Its description in RNAcentral is "partial 16S ribosomal RNA". It matches the Rfam family "Bacterial small subunit ribosomal RNA", at positions 29 to 507 of the family's 1533-position model. The record is from RNAcentral.
AGUGAACGCUGGCGGUAGGCCUAACACAUGCAAGUCGAACGGCAGCACAGUAAGAGCUUGCUCUUACGGGUGGCGAGUGGCGGACGGGUGAGGAAUACAUCGGAAUCUACUUUUUCGUGGGGGAUAACGUAGGGAAACUUACGCUAAUACCGCAUACGACCUACGGGUGAAAGCAGGGGAUCUUCGGACCUUGCGCGAUUGAAUGAGCCGAUGUCGGAUUAGCUAGUUGGCGGGGUAAAGGCCCACCAAGGCGACGAUCCGUAGCUGAUCUGAGAGGAUGAUCAGCCACACUGGGACUGAGACACGGUCCAGACUCCUACGGGAGGCAGCAGUGGGGAAUAUUGGACAAUGGGCGCAAGCCUGAUCCAGCCAUACCGCGUGGGUGAAGAAGGCCUUCGGGUUGUAAAGCCCUUUUGUUGGGAAAGAAAAGCAGCAGGUUAAUACCCCGCUGUUCUGACGGUACCCAAAGAAUAAGCACCGGCUAACUUCGUG